This 477-nucleotide ribosomal RNA is filed under the name uncultured anaerobic ammonium-oxidizing bacterium. RNAcentral describes it as "bacterial SSU rRNA". It matches the Rfam family "Bacterial small subunit ribosomal RNA", at positions 365 to 832 of the family's 1533-position model. The record is from RNAcentral.
UUCGCAAUGCCCGAAAGGGUGACGAAGCGACGCCGCGUGGGUGAGGAAGGCCUUCGGGUUGUAAAGCCCUGUCAAGAGUUAGGAAAUGUAGACUCGCUAAUAUCGGGUCUAUUUGACAAAGGCUCCAAAGGAAGCCACGGCUAACUCUGUGCCAGCAGCCGCGGUAAUACAGAGGUGGCAAGCGUUGUUCGGUAUUAUUGGGCGUAAAGAGCACGUAGGUGGUUUUGUAAGUCAGAUGUGAAAGCCUUCUGUUCAAAGGAAGAACGGCAUCUGAAACUGCAGAUCUUGAGCGUAGGAGGGGAGAGUGGAACUUCUGGUGGAGCGGUGAAAUGCGUAGAUAUCAGAAGGAACGUCGGCGGCGAAAGCGACUCUCUGGCCUAUUACUGACACUGAGUGUGCGAAAGUUAGGGGAGCAAACGGGAUUAGAUACCCCGGUAGUCCUAACUGUAAACGAUGGGCACUAAGUAGAGGGGUUUU